Long non-coding RNA from Arabidopsis thaliana (thale cress), 290 nucleotides. RefSeq annotates it as other RNA. NCBI's taxonomy places the organism in Eukaryota, Viridiplantae, Streptophyta, Magnoliopsida, Brassicales, Brassicaceae. The record is from RefSeq. The transcript has a single exon.
AUAGAUGUGUGUGUGGGUGUGAGAGUGGGACUUAAGUCCACCAACUCAUCCUCUUUUACUAGAUAUAUAUGAAUUGAAUUGGUAUUCAGAGAGAAUACAUGUUCGUAGACCCCAUUGUCGAAUAGCUGAGGCCAUCGGCUGCAUAGUGCUUUUGACAGAUGGAACAUAACACUGAUAUUCAUGGUAUGACAAGUUAGCUUCUUUGACACAUAACAUUCACCGAAAUAAGCAUGUAUGGCAAUGGCAUGAUCAAACAACAAAAAGGUUUCUCCGUCCAAUUUUGCUUAAUA